RNAcentral lists this ribosomal RNA (490 nucleotides) under uncultured bacterium. Its description in RNAcentral is "partial 16S ribosomal RNA". It matches the Rfam family "Bacterial small subunit ribosomal RNA", at positions 30 to 507 of the family's 1533-position model. The record is from RNAcentral.
AUUGAACGCUGGCGGCAUGCCUUACACAUGCAAGUCGAACGGCAGCAUGAUCUAGUUUGCUAGAUUGAUGGCGAGUGGCGAACGGGUGAGAAAUACAUCGGAACGUGCUCUGUAGCGGGGGAUAACUAGUCGAAAGAUUAGCCAAUACCGCAUACGACCUGAGGGGGAAAGUGGGGGAGCGCAAGGCCUCAUGCUAUAGGAGCGGCCGAUGUCUGAUUAGCUAGUUGGUGAGGUAAAGGCUCACCAAGGCGACGAUCAGUAGCUGGUCUGAGAGGACGAUCGGCCACACUGGGACUGAGACACGGUCCAGACUCCUACGGGAGGCAGCAGUAGGGAAUUUUGGACAAUGGGCGAAAGCCUGAUCCAGCAAUGCCGCGUGUGUGAAGAAGGCCUUCGGAUUGUAAAGCACUUUUAUCCGGGAAGAAAUGACUUGGGUUAAUACCUGGAGUCGUUGACGGUACCGGAAGAGAAAGGCCCGGCUAACUACGUG